This 468-nucleotide ribosomal RNA is filed under the name uncultured bacterium. RNAcentral describes it as "partial 16S ribosomal RNA". It matches the Rfam family "Bacterial small subunit ribosomal RNA", at positions 28 to 507 of the family's 1533-position model. The record is from RNAcentral.
GACGAACGCUGGCGGCGUGCUUAACACAUGCAAGUCGAACGGAAAGGCCCUGCUUUUGUGGGGUGCUCGAGUGGCGAACGGGUGAGUAACACGUGAGUAACCUGCCCUUGACUUUGGGAUAACUUCAGGAAACUGGGGCUAAUACCGGAUAGGAGCUCCUGCUGCAUGGUGGGGGUUGGAAAGUUUCGGCGGUUGGGGAUGGACUCGCGGCUUAUCAGCUUGUUGGUGGGGUAGUGGCUUACCAAGGCUUUGACGGGUAGCCGGCCUGAGAGGGUGACCGGCCACAUUGGGACUGAGAUACGGCCCAGACUCCUACGGGAGGCAGCAGUGCGGAAUAUUGCACAAUGGGCGGAAGCCUGAUGCAGCAACGCUGCGUGCGGGAUGACGGCCUUCGGGUUGUAAACCGCUUUCGCCUGUGACGAAGCGUGAGUGACGGUAAUGGGUAAAGAAGCACCGGCUAACUACGUG